RNAcentral lists this ribosomal RNA (328 nucleotides) under uncultured bacterium. Its description in RNAcentral is "bacterial SSU rRNA". It matches the Rfam family "Bacterial small subunit ribosomal RNA", at positions 28 to 334 of the family's 1533-position model. The record is from RNAcentral.
GAUGAACGCUGGCGGCGUGCCUAACACAUGCAAGUCGAACGGACAUUUUUUGGAAAGCUCUUCGGAACUGGAAUCUAAAUGUUAGUGGCGGACGGGUGAGUAACGCGUGAGCAAUCUGCCUUUCAGAGGGGGAUAACAGCCGGAAACGGAUGCUAAUACCGCAUAGGUAUGGACACUGCAUGGUGACCAUAUUAAAAGUGCCAAGGCACUGGUAGAGGAUGGACUUAUGGCGCAUUAGCUGGUUGGUGAGGUAACGGCUCACCAAGGCGACGAUGCGUAGCCGACCUGAGAGGGUGACCGGCCACACUGGGACUGAGACACGGCCCAG